CUUGUGCAGUUGUCUUCAGUCUUCGCAGCUGUCACUCGACUUUUCUAUCUGUAUUUUCUUUGAUAUAAAACCCUAAGAACAAAUUCAAAUGAUCAAUCUCAAUUUCUCAUCCCCCUUCUUUACUGCCUCUCUGCCUCUAAUCCAAUCCCAAAUUCCAAACCCUAAAUUUCCUCAAUUCCAACGAUACUCUUUCAGAAAUCGAUAGGCUAAACGAUGCCGUUUCAUAGUACCACAUGCUAGCUCUUCCGAGCUUCCGCUCCUCCCCGUUGAUAUAAACCAGGAGAGUUUUUGCAGCUGGUGGUUCUCCACCUUGGUCAUUGCUUCAAAAGCAUUCUUUGGAUAAGCACUUUUUUCCAAGUAAAUAUUUCCAAUCAAAGAAGAGACAAAACCAUGAAGAUGAGACCAAAUGUGCUGGUGAUGACCCACUAGUUGCAGCUGAACUUACAACAAACUCAGCAGCCACCAACCAGACUUUCAGAAUAUUUUACAACUACAGGUAAACAAAUGUGGGUCAAUACCCUAAAAGUACAAUAAAUAAAAAAACACAUCCUAGAUUUGGAGAAUC
Long non-coding RNA from Vitis vinifera (wine grape), 565 nucleotides. RefSeq lists it as uncharacterized. Lineage: Eukaryota; Viridiplantae; Streptophyta; Magnoliopsida; Vitales; Vitaceae. The record is from RefSeq and is a predicted model, not a curated record. The transcript has 2 exons.